Molecule: ribosomal RNA, 797 nt
Filed under: Ozopemon uniseriatus
Lineage: Eukaryota; Metazoa; Arthropoda; Insecta; Coleoptera; Curculionidae
Description: eukaryotic LSU rRNA
Rfam family: Eukaryotic large subunit ribosomal RNA
Source: RNAcentral
CGUUUAGGGGUAAACCUGAGAAACCCGAAAGGUCGAAGGGAGAAAUUCAUUCGCGUCUCGCCGCAGGCGUGGGGUGGGUCAGUGUGACGGACGCGUUUCGGUUCUGCCGUGCGCGCUUCGCGCCGCCCGUCCUUCGAACCGGUAGCGAACGCGUGCACUUUUCUCCUGGUAGGACGUCGCGAUCCGUCGGGCGUCGGUCUACGACUUACGGUGGAGCCCGUCCGUCGCCUCGUGCGCACGAAUGGACCCGUUAGUUCCGGCCGACUCGCUCGACGGUAUACUCGUACGGUCGGAGGCCGCUCUCAGGAGCGUUCGACUGGUCGCAAGCGCGCCAACUGCGUCGGCACGCGGACCUAGUGCCGCGUCCGACCUCUGGUGACUGUUGGCGACUAUGUUCUCGGACAGACCUCUUUUACAAGACCGAUCGGCGACGCUAUAGCUUUGGGUACUUUCAGGACCCGUCUUGAAACACGGACCAAGGAGUCUAGCAUGUACGCGAGUCAUUGGGAAUCACUAAACCUAAAGGCGUAAUGAAAGUGAAGAUCUUCCUAGCGGAGAUCGAGGGAAGACGGACGGAGGUCGCCGUCAAAAGUGGCGCCGUCCAGCAUUCCCGGGGCGUCUCGUUCACAUUGCGUGAAGAGGCGCACCAAGAGCGUACACGCUGGGACCCGAAAGAUGGUGAACUAUGCCUGGUCAGGACGAAGUCAGGGGAAACCCUGAUGGAGGUCCGUAGCGAUUCUGACGUGCAAAUCGAUCGUCGGAACUGGGUAUAGGGGCGAAAGACUAAUCGAACCAUC